GAUGAACGCUGGCGGCGUGCCUAAUACAUGCAAGUCGAGCGAACGGACGAGAAGCUUGCUUCUCUGAUGUUAGCGGCGGACGGGUGAGUAACACGUGGAUAACCUACCUAUAAGACUGGGAUAACUUCGGGAAACUGGAGCUAAUACCGGAUGAUAUUUUGAACCGCAUGGUUCAAAAGUGAAAGACGGUCUUGCUGUCACUUAUAGAUGGAUCCGCGCUGCAUUAGCUAGUUGGUAAGGUAACGGCUUACCAAGGCAACGAUGCAUAGCCGACCUGAGAGGGUGAUCGGCCCCACUGGAACUGGGACACGGUCCAGACUCCUACGGGAGGCAGCAGUAGGGAAUCUUCCGCGAUGGGCGAAAGCCUGACGGAGCAACGCCGCGUGAGUGAUGAAGGUCUUCGGAUCGUAAAACUCUGUUAUUAGGGAAGAACAUAUGUGUAAGUAACUGUGCACAUCUUGACGGUACCUAAUCAGAAAGCCACGGCUAACUACGUG
This 497-nucleotide ribosomal RNA is filed under the name uncultured bacterium. RNAcentral's name for it is "partial 16S ribosomal RNA". It matches the Rfam family "Bacterial small subunit ribosomal RNA", at positions 28 to 507 of the family's 1533-position model. The record is from RNAcentral.